Molecule: long non-coding RNA, 670 nt
Organism: Limulus polyphemus (Atlantic horseshoe crab)
Lineage: Eukaryota; Metazoa; Arthropoda; Merostomata; Xiphosura; Limulidae
Exons: 3
Source: RefSeq, a predicted model, not a curated record
GUUGCUGUGCCUAGCAGCAGACCAAUAGUACGGUUCAGUUCCCUUGAAGUUGAAAGAGAUAACUCAAAAGAAAGGAAAUUCCAAACUAAUUAAACAUAAAGCCGUUUCAUUUAAACUAAGCAGGUCUGGAGGCACACUGCGGAAGUUUGGGACUGAAUCGACACUGAAGGAUAUCAUCAUGAAGCAAACACUGUUAACAUUGUUGGUGGUCGUAUCUCUAACAAUCUGUUGGUUUGUGUCAAUGUACGCAGAAGCAAAACGCUAUGAAGACCCUACUCCAGUAUGUUCUGCUAGAUUUCAGUCCUGCCUCAACCGCCCGUGCUGUAUUCCUUACGACUGCAAUAGCGAUAAUAAAUGUAUUUGAAACGAAGAAAAAAAGAGUACCUGAAACCGACUUUAUCUUAUCUCGUCACUUCCAAAACCUUCAAGAGGUCACAGUAUAUUCGGAGAGAGUAUUAUUUUUAUUAAAUAACUCUGGUUUAAUUAUAUGCUUUCUAAAUGGAUCUGUUAUGUCUGUUAAUGAACUAAUAUUAAGCGUAAUUUUGUCUUUAAUCAACGUUUUAUGCUUUUUAUUAAUAAUACAAAGUUUCUGAAUAAUUUUUCUUAAGAAGUUUGGUUAACACUGGCCUGUAUACAUUUUUAUGACAAAUAAAAUUGUGUUUAGCCUUCA